RNAcentral lists this ribosomal RNA (400 nucleotides) under uncultured bacterium. RNAcentral's name for it is "bacterial SSU rRNA". It matches the Rfam family "Bacterial small subunit ribosomal RNA", at positions 355 to 768 of the family's 1533-position model. The record is from RNAcentral.
UCGAGAAUCUUCCGCAAUGCGCGAAAGCGUGACGGAGCGAUACCGCGUGAAGGAUGAAGCGUUUCGGCGUGUAAACUUCUUUUAUGAAUGAAGAAGCAUAUUGACAUUAGUUCAUGAAUAAGGGGCUCCUAACUCUGUGCCAGCAGGAGCGGUAAUACAGAGGCCCCAAGCGUUGUCCGAAAUUACUGGGCGUAAAGGGUGCGUAGGUGGAUAUAUUAGUCGAGUGUGAAAGACCCGUGCUUAACAUGGGGAACGCAUUCGAAACGGUAUGUCUUGAGUGCGUAAGAGGUACAUGGAACUCUCGGUGUAGGGGUGAAAUCCGUUGAUAUCGAGGGGAACACCAAAUGCGAAGGCAAUGUACUAGUACGUAACUGACACUGAGGCACGAAACCGUGGGUAG